This 270-nucleotide ribosomal RNA is filed under the name uncultured archaeon. RNAcentral describes it as "partial 16S ribosomal RNA". It matches the Rfam family "Archaeal small subunit ribosomal RNA", at positions 477 to 747 of the family's 1478-position model. The record is from RNAcentral.
CAGCACCUCAAGUGGUCAGGAUGAUUAUUGGGCCUAAAGCAUCCGUAGCCGGCUCUGUAAGUUUUCGGUUAAAUCUGUACGCUCAACGUACAGGCUGCCGGGAAUACUGCAGCGCUAGGGAGUGGGAGAGGUAGACGGUACUCAGUAGGAAGGGGUAAAAUCCUUUGAUCUAUUGAUGACCACCUGUGGCGAAGGCGGUCUACCAGAACACGUCCGACGGUGAGGGAUGAAAGCUGGGGGAGCAAACCGGAUUAGAGACCCGAGUAGUCC